RNAcentral lists this ribosomal RNA (432 nucleotides) under uncultured bacterium. RNAcentral's name for it is "partial 16S ribosomal RNA". It matches the Rfam family "Bacterial small subunit ribosomal RNA", at positions 29 to 507 of the family's 1533-position model. The record is from RNAcentral.
ACGAACGCUGGCGGCAUGCCUAACACAUGCAAGUCGAACGAGACCUUCGGGUCUAGUGGCGCACGGGUGCGUCACGCGUGGGAACCUGCCCUUAGGUUCGGAAUAACUCCCCGAAAGGGGUGCUAAUACCGGAUAAUGUCUUCGGACCAAAGAUUUAUCGCCUUUGGAUGGGCCCGCGUUGGAUUAGCUAGUUGGUAGGGUAAAAGCCUACCAAGGCGACGAUCCAUAGCUGGUCUGAGAGGAUGAUCAGCCACACUGGGACUGAGACACGGCCCAGACUCCUACGGGAGGCAGCAGUGGGGAAUAUUGGACAAUGGGCGAAAGCCUGAUCCGGCAAUGCCGCGUGAGUGAUGAAGGCCUUAGGGUUGUAAAGCUCUUUUACCCGGGAUGAUAAUGACAGUACCGGGAGAAUAAGCUCCGGCUAACUCCGUG